AUUGAACGCUGGCGGCAUGCUUUACACAUGCAAGUCGAACGGUAACAGGCCUUCGGGUGCUGACGAGUGGCGAACGGGUGAGUAAUGCAUCGGAACGUGCCCAGAGGUGGGGGAUAACGCAGCGAAAGCUGUGCUAAUACCGCAUGUGAUCUGAGGAUGAAAGCGGGGGACCAGGCAGCAAUGUUUGGCCUCGCGCCUUUGGAGCGGCCGAUGUCAGAUUAGGUAGUUGGUGGGGUAAAGGCCUACCAAGCCGACGAUCUGUAGCUGGUCUGAGAGGACGACCAGCCACACUGGGACUGAGACACGGCCCAGACUCCUACGGGAGGCAGCAGUGGGGAAUUUUGGACAAUGGGCGCAAGCCUGAUCCAGCAAGGCCGCGUGCGGGAAGAAGGCCUUCGGGUUGUAAACCGCUUUUGUACGGAACGAAAAGGCUCUGGCUAAUACCUGGGGCUGAUGACGGUACCGUAAGAAUAAGCACCGGCUAACUACGUG
RNAcentral lists this ribosomal RNA (492 nucleotides) under uncultured bacterium. Its description in RNAcentral is "partial 16S ribosomal RNA". It matches the Rfam family "Bacterial small subunit ribosomal RNA", at positions 30 to 507 of the family's 1533-position model. The record is from RNAcentral.